GAAGAAUCUUAUCAAACAGCGAUGAGUAUCAGGGUUGUUCUCAUCCAAUUUAAGCAUCUGCUUCACAGCCUGGAAUGCAAGUAAAAUCUUUUGUUUUCUCAUAUUGAGCUCGAAAGACAGUAAAUGUGUUUCAAGGGAAUUAGCCGAAUUGUUCUGGAGCAGCUUCAGAUAUUUAGUAGCUUCCAGCAGUGGAUCUUCAACCUGCAACAACUUUUCCCCAUGAGGAUCUAAAUCAACUGCUUUG
This 244-nucleotide unclassified non-coding RNA is filed under the name Hevea brasiliensis (rubber tree). Lineage: Eukaryota; Viridiplantae; Streptophyta; Magnoliopsida; Malpighiales; Euphorbiaceae. The record is from RNAcentral.